RNAcentral lists this ribosomal RNA (414 nucleotides) under Triatoma dimidiata (kissing bug). Its description in RNAcentral is "partial large subunit ribosomal RNA". It matches the Rfam family "Bacterial large subunit ribosomal RNA", at positions 1912 to 2540 of the family's 2925-position model. Lineage: Eukaryota; Metazoa; Arthropoda; Insecta; Hemiptera; Reduviidae. The record is from RNAcentral.
AGGAAUUCAAUGGCCGCAGUAUUUUAACUGUGCUAAGGUAGCAUAAUCAUUUGUCUUUUAAUUGAGGGCUGGAAUGAAAGGUUGGACGAAAUACUUACUUUCUUUAAUUUAAUUUUAAGAAUUUAAUUUUUGGGUUAAAAAGCUUAAAUUUAUUUGUUGGACGAGAAGACCCUAUAGAUCUUUAUAAUUUUAUAUUUUAAUAAUUUAGUGAUUAUAUUUAUUAUAAGUAAAAGGAUUAUUUUGUUGGGGUGACUGUAGAAUUUUAUAAACUUCUAUUAUUUUUAUUUCAUUGAUUAAUGUUUUUUUGAUCCAUAUAUUUAUGAUUAUAAGAUUAAGUUACCUUAGGGAUAACAGCGUAAUUUUUUCGGAGAGUUCAUAUUGAUGAAGAAGUUUGCGACCUCGAUGUUGGAUUAA